GCCCUUGUAGUGUAAUGGAUAACACACAAGCCUCCGAAGCUUGGAAUGUGAGUUCGAUCCUCGCCGAGGGCA
This 72-nucleotide transfer RNA is filed under the name Psychrobacillus insolitus. RNAcentral's name for it is "Bacillus insolitus tRNA". It matches the Rfam family "tRNA". From Rfam's summary of the family: Transfer RNA (tRNA) molecules are approximately 80 nucleotides in length. Their secondary structure includes four short double-helical elements and three loops (D, anti-codon, and T loops). The record is from Rfam by way of RNAcentral. RNAcentral also lists the same sequence under 7 other names. Lineage: Bacteria; Bacillati; Bacillota; Bacilli; Caryophanales; Bacillaceae.